ACGCUCGACACCUACGGGAUGCAGCAGUGGGGAAUAUUGCACAAUGGGGGAAACCCUGAUGCAGCGACGCCGCGUGAGCGAAGAAGUAUUUCGGUAUGUAAAGCUCUAUCAGCAGGGAAGAUCAUGACGGUACCUGACUAAGAAGCUCCGGCUAAAUACGUGCCAGCAGCCGCGGUAAUCUGAGCGGGCUGGCAAGGC
Molecule: ribosomal RNA, 198 nt
Filed under: uncultured bacterium
Lineage: Bacteria
Description: partial 16S ribosomal RNA
Rfam family: Bacterial small subunit ribosomal RNA
Source: RNAcentral